This is a long non-coding RNA of Pungitius pungitius (ninespine stickleback), 1634 nucleotides long. RefSeq lists it as uncharacterized. The transcript has 2 exons. The record is from RefSeq and is a predicted model, not a curated record. Lineage: Eukaryota; Metazoa; Chordata; Actinopteri; Perciformes; Gasterosteidae.
UUACCAAACAUGCCUUGGAUUUAUUUAAAUGUUUCCUUAAACUCUUCAGACUAAUCAUCUCCCCAAAGACACGACAAAUAUCUUAGAAUAAUAAAGGGAAAACAAAUUCAACAUCAUCAUUAAUAAACCGCUCUAACAAAAACAAAAUAAGGAUUAGAAAAUGUGUUUUGUUCUAAACACGAAGAAACAUCAAAAUCCGAUUGACUAAAACAUCAUUGAAUAUUUCAAAUUAUUAUUCCACAACAAAAGAGAAUGGAAAUAGUUGAACAAUACAAACAAAGAAUGCACUAUAGUGCGCGUGUGUGUGCGCGCGCGUGGGGGGGUGUCGCCAGGUAGGACAGGUUAGGGCGAGGCGUGGGACAGGAAAGACAGAGAGGGAGACAGAUUUACACCUCAGCUGUUUAUUUCACCUCCUCCUCCUCCUCAGAAGAGAGAACACGGGCUAAAACAGGAGAAGAAGAAGAGAAAACAGCAUUAAACAGAAGAAGAAGAGAGAACGGGGUAAAACAGGAGAAGAAGAAGAGAAAACAGCAUUAAACAGAAGAAGAAGAGAAAACGGGGUAAAACAGGAGAAGAAGAAGAGAAAACGGGAUAAAACAGGAGAAGAAGAAGAGAAAACAGCAUUAAACAGAAGAAGAAGAGAAAACGGGGUAAAACAGGAGAAGAAGAAGAGAAAACGGGAUAAAACAGGAGAAGAAGAAGUUGAUGUUUCCUCUAAAGACCGAAGAAGAAGAGCUCUCCAGGUGAAUCAGAAUUCUCUCGCCCAAUUGGAAAGGUUUCUGAUUGGUUGAUUGGACCUCUUUAGCCCCGCCCUCCCGCGACUCAUCGCAAUGUCCUCUAACAUCAACGUCUCCCCCGACAACCCGUAUGGUCAGGUGACCAUACCCCGGGCUAAGCUCCGCCUGUCUGAUGACGUCUCCACGGUGAUAGCCAAUCCGGGGGCUCUGAGCAGCAACGACCGUAACCCGUACGCCGCGUCGAGCUCCUCCUCCCCCCCGUACGUGGUGAAGGAGGCCAGUGGCGAGGACGAGGGGCAGGGGAGGUGCCCCGCCUGCUGCUACCGCUGCAGGAGGAGGAAGUGAUGUCACAGCAGGAGGAAGUGAUGUCAUGGCGGCAGGAGAAUUGGAACCCUGCUUUUCAUUAUGCUAACGUGUCUCCUUGCGUCCUAGCUCCUCGCAGCGAGGAUGUAAAGAAGGAGAGGCAACGCAAACCAGUAGUCCUUGUUUCCAUGGCGACCGUGCCUGUUGCCUCCCUUCACACCAUGUUUACACAGAAACGACUGUGCUUCCUCCCCAUGAGCUCCUCCUUGACUCCUCGUCUCCUUUUAUUGAUCGGAGGAUCCUCCAGGAAGCUAAAGUUAGCAUAAUGACAAAAACCAUAAAAUAUUUAAACUUCCUGUUUGACUCUCAAGAGAAGAAAGAAGUUUUAGAAGAUCCUCAAAAUGAGAUUCAGCAUCAGAAAUAAUAUAAUUAAGAGUUAAUGCAGAAAAAUAGAUGUGAGAAUAUUAAAUAAUAAAAGCUUUUGAUAUAUUUAAAGAAAAGAUUAAAUAACCUUUAUUAAUGUUGUCAUGGUUAUUAAUUAUUACUCUUUAAUGAGUCAACAUAAAUGAGAACGAUGGGCAGCAAAUUGGCAGU